AUCAUACCGUGAUAAAGUUGCCACAAUUCUGCCCAUCUGCCCGGAAGUAAUUGUUUGUAAGAUACGCUGGAACACCUGCUCGAAUAUGCUUUUCAAUUGGUUGUGAAGCAGCAGCAGUAGUCUUCUGAGAAGGAACAUUGUUUACUUCUGGCCCUUCGUUCUGACUCUUCUGAGCAGGUUGGGCAUUGCUAGUGGUCUCUCCACUUCCAAAUAGGUAACCCAAAGAACUCUGUCCACCACCAUUGCUAACACCACGUCCACGUCCCAUUUGUUUUCCUUUACUCAAUAGGAUUUCCUAAAUUUGCAUAAUCACCCAUUAUGAGAACUUACAAACUUCAAAAUUCAUUCUGCUUUUGGCACAUACAGGAAGUAGGUACAAGAAAACAUC
Molecule: long non-coding RNA, 388 nt
Organism: Quercus robur (English oak)
Lineage: Eukaryota; Viridiplantae; Streptophyta; Magnoliopsida; Fagales; Fagaceae
Exons: 3
Source: RefSeq, a predicted model, not a curated record